AUUAUUCAAAAAACAGUUUAAGAUAAACUAAAAUCUUAAGCGAAGAGAUUAUGAUAGCUCUAAAAGACUUAACUUUAAAAUUACGCACAAAUCAGGAAAUAAUAGAUUAACAAUUUGUUCAGUUUUUCAGACACAAAAUCCAGUCGAUUUAACGUCUGUGAUAGUUCACGUUUACAAGAUAAACUAACAUGAUUUUUGUUUUCCUCUGUCAAGAUUGAAUCAGCCCUGCAUGAGGACAACACGUAAUAUUCAUGAGCAAAGAGGCCCUCUAUUGGAAGGUUAUCGAGAGAACGUCAUCACAACUAAUUAAUAUGCAUGAGGCAUUCCUUCAUUGUGACAACAGCAUUCCAAUUAUUUCAAAACAGCCCGGAGGCACACAGCACUUUAAUAAGGCAAAAGUCACCAAACACGAAACAGAUAUAAUCCAUCCAACAGACAAAACUGCAUUCAGUAGCCAGCACUCAAUCAAUCAGCAGAAACCUGUGGGAAUGAGAAAUACGACUUCAGGCAGUGGAUGUUGUGAUGCAGAUUUUCUGGCCUGAUUGAAAACAGAGACAAAUUGCAAAAGACAACAUACUGGGCCUGCCAAGCCAUGGGACAAGUGUACCAUGACAGCUGCUUCACCUGCUAUGUCUGUGGUAAGACUACAGAUCAUAUAUCAGUUCAGAUGCAUUGAAAUAUUAGAAAGGGCUGAAGACAUAUAUAUGUGAGUAUCAGUGCAACAUGGCACAGUGCUUUUUUUAUAUUACAUUGUGUAUGUGCACACUUUACAUAUUACAGAGUCCCUAAAAUAGCAUGGUAAUAAUAAAAACAAGUGAGAGGAAAAAAUUUACA
Cyprinus carpio (common carp) is the source of this 834-nucleotide long non-coding RNA. The record is from Ensembl. NCBI's taxonomy places the organism in Eukaryota, Metazoa, Chordata, Actinopteri, Cypriniformes, Cyprinidae.